GAAGCUGACCAGACAGUCGCCGCUUCGUCGUCGUCCUUUCGGGGAGACGGGCGGAGGGGAGGAAAGUCCGGGCUCCAUAGGGCAGGGUGCCAGGUAACGCCUGGGGGGGAAACCCACGACCAGUGCAACAGAGAGCAAACCGCCGAUGGCCCACGUAAGUGGGAUCAGGUAAGGGUGAAAGGGUGCGGUAAGAGCGCACCGCGCGGCUGGUAACAGUCCGUGGCACGGUAAACUCCACCCGGAGCAAGGCCAAAUAGGGGUUCAUAAGGUACGGCCCGUACUGAACCCGGGUAGGCUGCUUGAGCCAGUGAGCGAGGUUCAUAAGGUACGGCCCGUACUGAACCCGGGUAGGCUGCUUGAGCCAGUGAGCGAUUGCUGGCCUAGAUGAAUGACUGUCCACGACAGAACCCGGCUUAUCGGUCAGUUUCACUU
RNAcentral lists this RNase P RNA (432 nucleotides) under Salmonella enterica subsp. enterica serovar Typhimurium. RNAcentral's name for it is "bacterial RNase P". It matches the Rfam family "Bacterial RNase P class A". From Rfam's summary of the family: Ribonuclease P (RNase P) is a ubiquitous endoribonuclease, found in archaea, bacteria and eukarya as well as chloroplasts and mitochondria. Its best characterised activity is the generation of mature 5'-ends of tRNAs by cleaving the 5'-leader elements of precursor-tRNAs. Lineage: Bacteria; Pseudomonadati; Pseudomonadota; Gammaproteobacteria; Enterobacterales; Enterobacteriaceae. The record is from RNAcentral.